UAACGUAACCUGUUAUAUUCGGUUACAUUGCUGUUACACUGCUACUAUAUUACUGUGUUCACUGGGUUGUCUUUACUUUAAUUCUCAAUAUUGCGUCAAUGUUUUUUGCUACUAGAAUAAAUGUUUAUUAAAUAUAAUUGAAACAUUACAAUAAUUGUUGUAAAUCCUUUUUAAUUUAUAAAUUAAAUAUCUAUUUAUAUAUAGAUGGAUAUUGCUAAAAUAGGAGCAAUAAGAGAUUUUCUCACAAUAGCUACAUCUCAAUUAUUUUUUGAAGAGUCUUCAUCUUCUGAUGAAUACGAGGAUGUUAUGCCAUUAUUUAUUCUACGAAAUGAAGUACACAUGCAACGAGUACAAAGAAGACUAAACAUUAAUGAUAGACGUCCAACUGUUUCAACAGAUAAAGCUUUAUUGUUGACAUUAUAGAUUCUUGCUAAUCAAGAUUCAUUUCGAGAGGCUGGGAAUAUAUUUGAUAUUUCAAAAGGAAACAGCCAUUAAAUUUUCAUGAAUAUUAUUCACAUAAUUGUAGAAUUAGCUGAGGUUUAUUUAAAAUGGCCAUCUAUAAAGCAAUUAAAUAUUAUAAAAGAAGAAUUUAACAAUAUUAGAGGAAAUAAUUCAUUUUCUAAUGUAAUUGGAGUACUUGAUGCAAAACACAUUGCUAUUCCAGCCCCGAAAGAAGAUCGGCAAAGUUACAUUAAUCGAAAAGCAUUCUAUUCAGUUAAUUUACAAGCUAUAUGUGACAGUAAUGCAAUUUUUUUAGAUGUUUUUGCCGGUUGGCCUGGUUCGUCUCAUGACAGCCGCGUUUGGCGUAACAGUCCAAUUUCUGAUUUUUUGGAACAACCAAAUGUGAUACCAAAUAAUACAUGCAUAUUAUAGCGGACUCAGCAUAUCCCUUAAAAUUAUAUCUAAUGUGCCCUUUUCGAGAUAAUCAUCACUUAACCCAAGCACAGAAAAAUUUUAAUACUAAACUUUCUGUAAAACGAUCAGUGAUAGAACGUGCGUUUGGAUUACUAACAGCACGUUUUCGAAGAUUGAAAUUUUUGAAUAUGAGCAACUUGCAAGAAAUCCCUAAUGUUAUCAUAGCUUGUUGUGUUUUACACAACAUUUGCAUAAAGUAUAAUGAUUUAUGGGAAAAUUAUGAGUACUUCGAUAUGGCUGUCGAUGAUGAUGAGUAUUUCUUUGAUGACCCAGAUGAUACCACUGAAGCUCAUGAGAAACGAAAUGUUAUUUUACAUUCCCUAAUGUGAUAACUGCACAUGUAAAUUUAUUUGAAUAAUUACCCAGUCGAAAAUGCAAAUUGAAUCGACGUCUAAUCAACGUCGAUUCGACUUGCCAUUUCUGCUUGGGUAGGUAUUUAUUUUACUUACCUUUUUUAUAUAAAAAAUAAAGAUGUUUCAAUAAUUAUAAGCGUUUAUUAAUAAAUAAAAUGUUGGAAUAUGUAUUUUUAUUUUGUUUAUUUUUCUGUAUUUGUUUAUUUUGUAUAGAAUUUUUAGUAUAAUAAAACAUUUAUUAUAUUACAUUUAAUGUUUUGAUACAAAAUUCUUUCUAUAAAUAGUAAUUCUGAUAUACUUAACAUAUUUUAUUAUUCGUUGUAAUAUAAAAUUAAUUAUUAUUGCAUAUAUAAAAAUUGCAUUAACAUGUAUGUAUAUGGUAUCGCCAAUAACCAUAUUUAAGACAAAAAAAAAUAUAUAUUUUAUUACAAACAAUAAACGAAGUUUUUAUUAUAAAUACAAAAAUAUAAUAAAAAGUAACGACUAUUAAUACAAGUAUUAAUAUUUUGUAUUACUGCAUUCACCUGUCUUAUUGUCUGUUAUAAUCUGUUAUACUCAACAAAUACAGAGUAAUCUCAUAAAUAGACAUCCUGCAGUUAAGUAUUACUGAAUCUGUUAAAGUUGGUUUUAACAAAAUAUCUUACUGUAGUUAAAACAAAAAUUUUCUCGUGUUUUUUUUAUAAUAUAUAUAUCAACCGUUAAUGCUUGCAUGACUGUUUUAAUGCGUUUUUAU
This is a long non-coding RNA of Monomorium pharaonis (pharaoh ant), 2001 nucleotides long. RefSeq lists it as uncharacterized. Lineage: Eukaryota; Metazoa; Arthropoda; Insecta; Hymenoptera; Formicidae. The record is from RefSeq and is a predicted model, not a curated record. The transcript has 2 exons.